UUGACCUCAAAUCGGGUGAGACUACCCGCUGAACUUAAGNNNNNNNNNNNNNNNNNNNNNNNNNNNNNNNNNNNNNNNNNNNNGUAACUGCGAGUGAAGCGGGAAAAGCUCAAAUUUAAAAUCUGGCGGUCUUUGGCCGUCCGAGUUGUAAUUUAGAGAAGCGUCUUCCGCGCCGGACCGUGCACAAGUCUCCUGGAAUGGAGCGUCAUAGAGGGUGAGAAUCCCGUCUUUGGCACGGAUGCCCGGUGCUUCUGUGAUGCGCUCUCGAAGAGUCGAGUUGUUUGGGAAUGCAGCUCAAAAUGGGUGGUGAACUCCAUCUAAAGCUAAAUAUUGGCGAGAGACCGAUAGCGAACAAGUACCGUGAGGGAAAGAUGAAAAGCACUUUGGAAAGAGAGUGAAACAGUACGUGAAAUUGUUGAAAGGGAAACGCUUGAAGUCAGUCGCGUCGACCGAGACUCAGCCUUGCCUUGGCUUGGUGUACUUCUCGGCCCGACGGGUCAGCGUCGAUUUCGCUCCUCGGAUAAUGGCAAGGGAAAGGUGGCACCUUUACGGGUGUGUUAUAGUCUCCUGUCGCAUGCGAGGGGUGGGAUCGAGGAACUCAGCGCGCACCUUGGUGUCGGGGCUUCUGCCCACGUCACGCGCUUAGGAUGCUGGCGUAAUGGCUUUAAACGACCCGUCUUGAAACACGGACCAAGGAGUCCAACACGCCCGCGAGUGUUCGGGUGGAAAACCCGUGCGCGUAAUGAAAGUGAAAGUUGGGACCUCUGUCGUGGAGGGCACCGACGCCCGGACCAGACCUUCUGUGACGGAUCUGCGGUAGAGCGUGCGUGUUGGGACCCGAAAGAUGGUGAACUAUGCCUGAAUAGGGUGAAGCCAGAGGAAACUCUGGUGGAGGCUCGUAGCGAUUCUGACGUGCAAAUCGAUCGUCAAAUUUGGGUAUAGGGGCGAAAGACUAAUCGAACCUCUAGUAGCUGG
RNAcentral lists this ribosomal RNA (975 nucleotides) under Lactarius quietus. RNAcentral's name for it is "partial 28S ribosomal RNA". It matches the Rfam family "Eukaryotic large subunit ribosomal RNA", at positions 1 to 954 of the family's 3401-position model. The record is from RNAcentral. Lineage: Eukaryota; Fungi; Basidiomycota; Agaricomycetes; Russulales; Russulaceae.